CUUGUACUCCCUCUAUGCCAUAUUAGUUGUCGCUCAAACGGAUGUAUCUAGCACUGAAAUACGUCUAGAUACAUCCGUUUUAGCGACAAUUAAUAUGGAACGGAGGGAGUACGUA
Molecule: non-coding RNA, 115 nt
Organism: Triticum aestivum (bread wheat)
Lineage: Eukaryota; Viridiplantae; Streptophyta; Magnoliopsida; Poales; Poaceae
Source: Rfam